AGAGUUUGUAACAGCCCAAAGUCGGUGGCCUAACCUUUAUGGAGGGAGCCGCCUAAGGCGGGACAGAUGACUGGGGUGAAGUCGUACCAGGGUAGCCGUAGGAGAACCUGCGGCUGGAUCACCUCCUUUCUAAGGAAUAAAACGGAACCUACACAUAUGUAAAACUUUGUUUAGUUUUGAGGGGUUUACCCUCAGUAGCUUGCCUUGGAAAACUAAAUACUAUCUAAUUUCUUUAUUAACAACAACAGUAAACCGAGUACACCGCGUGCAUUUGAGAUCUUAAACUUAACGAAUUAUCAUCGUAACUGAGUUAGAUCAAUCUUCUGAUUGUUUAGGUUAAGUUAUGAAGGGCGCAUGGUGAAUGCCUUGGUACUAGGAGCCGAUGAAGUACGGGACUAACACCGAUAUGCUUCGGGGAGCGGUAAGUACACUUUGAUCCGAACUUUCCAAAUGGGGCAACCCAAUCAGAUUAAUCGAUGAUUACUUGAUCUGAAUUCAUAGGAUGUGUGAAGGUAA
This 516-nucleotide unclassified non-coding RNA is filed under the name Limosilactobacillus reuteri. Its description in RNAcentral is "Lactobacillus reuteri partial contains 16S ribosomal RNA, 16S-23S intergenic spacer, and 23S ribosomal RNA". The stretch from base 335 to 516 matches the Rfam family "Bacterial large subunit ribosomal RNA", at positions 1 to 183 of the family's 2925-position model. Lineage: Bacteria; Bacillati; Bacillota; Bacilli; Lactobacillales; Lactobacillaceae. The record is from RNAcentral.